UGGCAGCGCGCUGUUACUGCAGUCUCCAAGGAAACCCUCCGUGCUGCUCCCCCUCGGAAGCUCCGUGUACUCCUGGAGAAGCUGCAAGUGCAGAUGUGAGAGUCCUGACCCGUGCCCAUGAGCUCCAGACCAGGUGGCUGUCGCUGCCUUGGGUGUUUCCUGCAGAUCCCUGGAGGUCUCUGCUGAGGGGAGACCUUGCAUCACUGGCACGUGCCGGGAAGAGAGUUCCAGAGGAGGGUCCCAGUUUGCCAGCUCUGCAGUUGUUAGCAGCACUAAAAUACUCCUGAUUUGGUUGCACAGGAUUCAUGCUUCUGUCUGGAAAAGCAUCUCCCGCACCCUUGCUUGCCUCAGCAAUCCUUCUGGAUGUGGCAGGAUCCCCAAACCACGUGUGGGCACAACGGAGAGUGAGCAGACACUGGACCUCGUGCUCAGCAGGGGGCACUCCAGGAAGGAUUCAGUGCAGCCCUUGUGCUCUCCACCAUGACUUCAGACACCUGGAGCUCAGCCCAG
This is a long non-coding RNA of Myiozetetes cayanensis, 510 nucleotides long. RefSeq lists it as uncharacterized. Lineage: Eukaryota; Metazoa; Chordata; Aves; Passeriformes; Tyrannidae. The transcript has 3 exons. The record is from RefSeq and is a predicted model, not a curated record.